Molecule: long non-coding RNA, 540 nt
Organism: Pyrus x bretschneideri (Chinese white pear)
Lineage: Eukaryota; Viridiplantae; Streptophyta; Magnoliopsida; Rosales; Rosaceae
Exons: 4
Source: RefSeq, a predicted model, not a curated record
GUAUAAUGACACGUGAUGUCCCACCUCAUGUACCCGAUCAUACUGAAAAAUCUUUCCUCGCCCAGCUCGAUUCGUUGUCUCAACCGCCACCUUAACACCUACCACGAGACUUUCCAGGUGUUGGAUCACUGUACCUUCAACACUCGAGAAGGUGAUCUGGGUUGAGGUCGUAAAGAUGGGAAUUUGAAGAUGAGGAGACAAUAAGAAGUACAAAAGGAUGCAUUUGGCUCCCAUUUUUUAGGUUACUUCCAUGAGUACCCUGCAAUUAACAAACCAGUUGGAGUUGUGCACUGGCUUUAGCACAGUAGAUGCUGCGAAUGUUAAUGGGGUUGUGAUUGUGGAUGCUGACAUGAUUAUCCGAGGGCCGAUUGUUCCUUGGGAACUUGGUGCUGAAAAAGGCAAGGCUCUUCCUGCAUCAUAUUAUGAUUUAUGGGUAUAUUACUACUACACCUUUUUUCCUUUCAUGUAAAUGACACUAGAUUUUGGUUGAGAUCAGAUUGUAUCAGACAAGAGCAUUGUGAAUGUCAUGUAAUUCCAUUU